AAUGAACGCUGGCGGCAGGCCUAAACAUGCAAGUCGAACGCUGUAGCAAUACAGAGUGGCGCACGGGUGAGUAACAUGUGGGAAUAUGCCUAUUGGUACGGAACAACGUUUGGAAACGAACGCUAAUACCGUAUGGUCCCUUCGGGGUAAAGAUUUAUCGCCAAUAGAUUAGCCCGCACUAGAUUAGCUAGUUGGUGAGGUAAGAGCUCACCAAGCCGACGAUCGGUAGCUGGUCUGAGAGGAUGAUCAGCCACACUGGGACUGAGAUACGGCCCAGACUCCUACGGGAGGCAGCAGUGGGGAAUAUUGGACAAUGGGGGCAACCCUGAUCCAGCAAUGCCGCGUGAGUGAUGAAGGCCUUAGGGUUGUAAAGCUCUUUUGCCAGGGAAGAUGAUGACUGUACCUGGUAGAAUAAGCCCGGCUAACUUCGUGCCAGCAGCCGCGGUAAU
RNAcentral lists this ribosomal RNA (449 nucleotides) under uncultured bacterium. RNAcentral describes it as "bacterial SSU rRNA". It matches the Rfam family "Bacterial small subunit ribosomal RNA", at positions 29 to 524 of the family's 1533-position model. The record is from RNAcentral.